Molecule: long non-coding RNA, 194 nt
Organism: Oncorhynchus keta (chum salmon)
Lineage: Eukaryota; Metazoa; Chordata; Actinopteri; Salmoniformes; Salmonidae
Exons: 3
Source: RefSeq, a predicted model, not a curated record
CUCGUCAGGUAGUAUAAGAUGAUACAGGCCUCGUCUGGUAGUCUAAGAUGAUACAGGCCUCGUCAGGUAGUAUAAGAUGAUACAGGCCUCGUCAGGUAGUCUAAGAUGAUACAGGCCUCGUCAGGUAGUAUAAGAUGAUACAGGCCUCGUCAGGUAGUCUAAGAUGAUACAGGCCUCGUCAGGUAGUCUAAGAU